This 74-nucleotide transfer RNA is filed under the name Candidatus Woesearchaeota archaeon. RNAcentral describes it as "tRNA-His". It matches the Rfam family "tRNA". Rfam says of the family: Transfer RNA (tRNA) molecules are approximately 80 nucleotides in length. Their secondary structure includes four short double-helical elements and three loops (D, anti-codon, and T loops). Lineage: Archaea; Nanobdellati; Candidatus Woesearchaeota. The record is from RNAcentral.
GCGGUAGUGGUCUAACGGUAUGAUGGAGGCCUGUGGAGCCUCAUGAGGGAGUUCAACUCUCCCCUACCGCACCA